Molecule: ribosomal RNA, 763 nt
Filed under: uncultured prokaryote
Description: bacterial SSU rRNA
Rfam family: Bacterial small subunit ribosomal RNA
Source: RNAcentral
GAUGAACGCUGACAGAAUGCUUAACACAUGCAAGUCGAUUCGAUUUACCUUCGGGUAUUGAGGAUGGCGGACGGGUGAGUAACGCGUAAGGAACUUGCCUCUUGGUCUGGGACAACUGUUGGAAACGACAGCUAAUACCGGAUAUUAUGAGAUUCUCGCAUGGGAAACUUAUGAAAGCUAUAUGCGCCAAGAGAGAGCCUUGCGUUCCAUUAGCUAGUUGGUGGGGUAACGGCCCACCAAGGCGACGAUGGAUAGCCGGCCUGAGAGGGUGAACGGCCACAAGGGGACUGAGACACGGCCCUUACUCCUACGGGAGGCAGCAGUGGGGAAUAUUGGACAAUGGGCCACAAGCCUGAUCCAGCAAUUCUGUGUGCACGAUGAAGGUCUUCGGAUUGUAAAGUGCUUUCAGUUGGGAAGAAGAAAGUGACGGUACCAACAGAAGAAGCGACGGCUAAAUACGUGCCAGCAGCCGCGGUAAUACGUAUGUCGCAAGCGUUAUCCGGAUUUAUUGGGCGUAAAGCGCGUCUAGGCGGAAAAAUAAGUCUGAUGUUAAAAUGCGGGGCUCAACUCCGUAUUGCGUUGGAAACUGUUUUUCUAGAGUACUGGAGAGGUGGGCGGAACUACAAGUGUAGAGGUGAAAUUCGUAGAUAUUUGUAGGAAUGCCGAUGGAGAAGUCAGCUCACUGGACAGAUACUGACGCUAAAGCGCGAAAGCGUGGGGAGCAAACAGGAUUAGAUACCCUGGUAGUCCACGCCGUAAACNA